AGAGUACGUGAAACCGUUCAGGGGUAAACCUGAGAAACCCGAAAGGUCGAAAGGGGAAAUUCAUUCGCGUUUCGGCUUUGUUGGCGUCGAAUGGUCGAGUGACGGAUGGCGUACGCGUCGUCCGCGCCUUCCUUUCUUCGAACCGACGUCGAACGCGUGCACUUUUCCCCUAGUAGGACGUCGCGAUCCGUUGGGUGUCGGUCUAAGGCACGUGCGGUGGAGCCCGACGUGGACGUUUCACGACGUCUGCGCUCGGACCCGUGGUGUCCCGGCCGACUCGCUCGACGGUAUACAGAUGGCGCGGGGCCGCUACACUUUUAGUUAGCGUUCGGCCUGCGGCAAGCGCGUUCGGUGUUUGACGGCGAUCGGACCUGGUGCCGGUCCUGUCCCCGAACGACUGUUGGCCGUGGUGUUCUCGAACAGACCUCGUACACAUUGUGAAACGCCGAUCUGCGACGCUAUAGCUUUGGGUACUUUCAGGACCCGUCUUGAAACACGGACCAAGGAGUCUAGCAUGUGCGCGAGUCAUUGGGACAUAACUAAACCUAAAGGCGCAAUGAAAGUGAAGGUCCGCCUUGCGCGGGCCGAGGGAGGAUGGGCGGUUCGACCUUAAAAGUGGCCGCCCCGCACUCCCGGGGCGUCUCGUUCUCAUUGCGAGAAGA
RNAcentral lists this ribosomal RNA (662 nucleotides) under Mimostrangalia kurosonensis. RNAcentral describes it as "partial large subunit ribosomal RNA". It matches the Rfam family "Eukaryotic large subunit ribosomal RNA", at positions 392 to 788 of the family's 3401-position model. The record is from RNAcentral. Lineage: Eukaryota; Metazoa; Arthropoda; Insecta; Coleoptera; Cerambycidae.